This is a non-coding RNA of Kogia breviceps (pygmy sperm whale), 298 nucleotides long. NCBI's taxonomy places the organism in Eukaryota, Metazoa, Chordata, Mammalia, Artiodactyla, Physeteridae. The record is from RefSeq and is a predicted model, not a curated record.
CAUGGAGUUGUCAGUUGGAGGACUCGCCUUUCCUUUCUCUCCCAGCCUUGAGGAGGAGGUUGUUUGCCAGCAGCUUCCCAAGGCACGGAAGCUUGGCUAAGGGCCCACUUGCUCUCAACCCAGCUCGGCUCUCCCCCAGCCUCUGACACACCCCCCAUUCGUUAACCACCGCUGUUCUGUCUCCUGGACUUCUCUUCGCACAGUGCACGGGAUGCAGAAACGAAGACACAGAGAAGUUAAGUAACUUGCUCAACGCCACACAUAGCCGAGAUUCCAAAGCAGGUGAACUGACCCCAGG